CGGGGGGGGGGGCAAGCGUUGUUCGGAAUUACUGGGCGUAAAGGGCGCGUAGGCGGGCGAGACAGUCUUUCGUGAAAUCCCACGGGCUCAACCGUGGAAUUGCGGGAGAUACUACUCGUCUUGAGUUCGGGAGAGGAGUGUGGAAUUCCCAGUGUAGCGGUGAAAUGCGUAGAUAUUGGGAGGAACACCGGUGGCGAAGGCGGCACUCUGGACCGAUACUGACGCUGAGGCGCGAAAGCUAGGGGAGCAAACGGGAUUAGAUACCCCGGUAGUCCUAGCUGUAAACGAUGAGCACUUGGUGUAGCGGGUAUCGACCCCUGCUGUGCCGGAGUUAACGCAUUAAGUGCUCCGCCUGGGGAGUACGGUCGCAAGGCUG
This 376-nucleotide ribosomal RNA is filed under the name uncultured organism. Its description in RNAcentral is "partial 16S ribosomal RNA". It matches the Rfam family "Bacterial small subunit ribosomal RNA", at positions 523 to 896 of the family's 1533-position model. The record is from RNAcentral.